GAAAAUGGCAACCGAGGGACAGCAAAUCUCUCCUGUAAAAAUGGCAACCGAGGGACAGCAAAUCUUUACUGCGAAAAUGGCAACCAUUAAACAGUUUCCGGUUGCAAAAUCUUGUAGUGCACAAAACAUAAGAAACUUCAAUACCUUUAAUAAAAAGAAAAUGAUAAAAAUAACACAAACGUAAACAUAAAUGCAGAUUUAUUAAGUACAUACACAGAGAAUCUGAGUAAAGACUCAAAGUCAAGUGUACACUCAUCCGAUAUAUCAGAAACAAAUUCCGUAUCAGAAUUAAGUACCUCUGCCGCUGUACAGAAGAGAGAUUUAUUGUCAAAAAGAAAAGUAAAAGGAAAACAACCGGAUGUUUUGCAUAAUGCAAUUUGUAAGGUAACAUCUUUAUUAAAACAAAUAUUCAACUUCUUCGCAAUCUACUGUGCAAUCUACUUCGCAAUCUACGCUAAAGCCCGAAGUAGAAGAUGUAGCUUUUUGCCAGUUAAUACUCUCAACACUAAUAAAUAUGCCACCAAACACAAAAACAGAUAAAAAGAAAGAAUUAUUGCGCAUUAUAUAUGAUAUCUAAUGUGAUAUUCAAGUGAGAUAUAUUUUAAGACAAAAAUA
Nylanderia fulva is the source of this 615-nucleotide non-coding RNA. Lineage: Eukaryota; Metazoa; Arthropoda; Insecta; Hymenoptera; Formicidae. The record is from RefSeq and is a predicted model, not a curated record.